RNAcentral lists this ribosomal RNA (540 nucleotides) under uncultured bacterium. Its description in RNAcentral is "bacterial SSU rRNA". It matches the Rfam family "Bacterial small subunit ribosomal RNA", at positions 777 to 1317 of the family's 1533-position model. The record is from RNAcentral.
AAUAGAUACCCUGGUAGUCCAUGCCGUAAACGAUGUCUACUAGCCGUUGGGGCCUUUGAGGCUUUAGUGGCGCAGCUAACGCGAUAAGUAGACCGCCUGGGGAGUACGGUCGCAAGACUAAAACUCAAAUGAAUUGACGGGGGCCCGCACAAGCGGUGGAGCAUGUGGUUUAAUUCGAUGCAACGCGAAGAACCUUACCUGGUCUUGACAUAGUAAGAACUUUCCAGAGAUGGAUUGGUGCCUUCGGGAACUUACAUACAGGUGCUGCAUGGCUGUCGUCAGCUCGUGUCGUGAGAUGUUGGGUUAAGUCCCGCAACGAGCGCAACCCUUUUCCUAUUUGCCAGCGGGUUAAGCCGGGAACUUUAAGGAUACUGCCAGUGACAAACUGGAGGAAGGCGGGGUACGACGUCAAGUCAUCAUGGCCCUUAGACCAGGGCUACACACGUGCUACAAUGGUCGGUACAAAGGGUUGCUACCUAGCGAUAGGAUGCUAAUCUCAAAAAGCCGAUCGUAGUCCGGAUUGGAGUCUGCAACUCGACU